UGGGGAAUCUUGGACAAUGGGCGAAAGCCUGAUCCAGCGACGCCGCGUGAAGGAAGGAGUCCCUCGGGAUGUAAACUUCUGAACUAGUCGAAUAAAGAGGUAGCGGACACGCUACAAGAGAAGGUAGGCUAGGAAAAGUCCCGGCUAACUACGUGCCAGCAGCCGCGGUAAGACGUAGGGGGCGAGCGUUGCCCGGAAUCACUGGGUGUAAAGGGGACGUAGGCGGUAAACCAAGUCAUAUGUGAAAACCAUUUGCUCAACGAAAGGCUUGCGUAUGAAACUGGAGAACUUGAGUGUAGCAGAGGUAGACGGAAUUACCUGAGUAGGGGUGAAAUCCGCAGAUACAGGUAAGAAGGCCGGUGGAGAAGUCGGUCUACUGGGCUACAACUGACGCUGAGGUCCGAAAGCCAGGGGAGCGAACC
This 422-nucleotide ribosomal RNA is filed under the name Thermotogales bacterium enrichment culture. RNAcentral describes it as "bacterial SSU rRNA". It matches the Rfam family "Bacterial small subunit ribosomal RNA", at positions 355 to 774 of the family's 1533-position model. The record is from RNAcentral. Lineage: Bacteria; Thermotogati; Thermotogota; Thermotogae; Thermotogales.